GGCCUGCCAUUCUCUAUUCAUGGAGUUUGUAAGUCAGCAUGAAGGCCCAUUGACUGAGGAUAUGUGAUUUUGUUCCUCUGGACGCUGAGGUCAGUGCAGUACCAAUGCACAAUGCAACAACACACCAGUCUCCACGGAUUCUUGAAACACAGGAGGUCCAGAAGAUGGGAGAUCCCAUGUGCUACGGACGAGCAGUUGCUGUGUGGACAUGCAGGGGAAAUCUCCGUCAGUCCAUGUGGUGUACAUCUGAGAGAAAACCUGAAAGGCCACAAAUCUGAAUGUCUAACAUGACCAAAGCUCACCACAGGUAGAUUUUAGGGACGUAAUAUGGGGCAUUUCAUCCUGAUACGGCUUUACGCGUUUGUGGGGAGGCCCAGACCCUGAGCCUGCCUGAUGCAGGACUCCCAGGACACCGGGCCACCGCCGAGGGAAACCUGUGCGCACCUCAACAAACAGAGGGGGUCCAUGUUCAUGGAUUGGAUGAUGCAACAUCAUUACGGUGGUAAUUCUCUCCAAAGUGUCUAUAGAU
Long non-coding RNA from Enhydra lutris kenyoni (northern sea otter), 529 nucleotides. RefSeq lists it as uncharacterized. The transcript is spliced from 4 exons. The record is from RefSeq and is a predicted model, not a curated record. Lineage: Eukaryota; Metazoa; Chordata; Mammalia; Carnivora; Mustelidae.